UACGUAGGUGGCAAGCGUUAUCCGGAAUUACUGGGCGUAAAGCGCACGCAGGCGGUCUUUUAAGUUUGACGUGAAAGCUCCCGGCUUAACUGGGAGAGGUCGUUGAAUACUGGAAGGCUUGAGGCAAUGAGAGGGGUGUAGAAUUCCCGGUGUAGUGGUGGAAUGCGUAGAUAUCGGGGGGAAUACCAGUGGCGAAAGCGGCACCCUAGCGUUAGCCUGACGCUCAUGUGCGAAAGCGUGGGGAGCGAACGGG
This 253-nucleotide ribosomal RNA is filed under the name uncultured bacterium. Its description in RNAcentral is "partial 16S ribosomal RNA". It matches the Rfam family "Bacterial small subunit ribosomal RNA", at positions 524 to 776 of the family's 1533-position model. The record is from RNAcentral.